ACAGUUGACCGGAAAGGAUUCUAGCAGACAUCAGAUUAUCGAUCGAAUAAAAUAUGCAAUAAGCUCAUGCUUCGGCGGCUUUAUAAUAUUUGCUGACGUUAUAAAGAAUACAAAGAGUGAAAAUGGAUGCACCUUUUAAGAAACUCGCUUCGGAGGCAGGAUCAUUUUUCAGUAGGGCAAAGCAGUUUACUGAAGAAGCGUUAGGUGGGAGUAGUACUGAAAAAACGCCUUUAGAUCCUCAUCUGGAACAGCUUUUGCAGCGAGCCGAUGCCACUAGAAAUCAUACAGAAAGAAUCGUUAAAGACACAGAAGGCCUUUUACAGCCGAAUCCCAGCGCUCGGCUCGAUAAAUUUGUAAAUGAUGCUCUAGAAAGAAAAUCCGGGAGAUUAACUGAAUCUGAAAACCUUGGCACGGGUAUGAUGGAUGCCGGAAAUGAGUUAGGUGGCCCGUAUGGAGCCGCCUUAGCUCGUGUAGGAAGAGCUGAACAACAACUUGGAGGAGCAGAAAAAGAAUUUCUAGCUUCGGCAAUGACAAGUUUUGUUCAACCUCUUCGAGCUUUUCUAGACGGAGAUAUGAAAACAAUACAAAAAGAACGUCGGAAUCUAAUAGCUAGGCGAUUGGAUUUAGAUGCGGCUAGAGGAAGGCAGAAACGAGCUGAGCAAGCAGCUGGAGGUCCUGGGAGUACCAGCGAAGAGUUAUUAAAAGCCGAAGCUGAUGUACGAAAUGCUCGUAGCGAAUUCGAGAGGCAAGCGGAAGUUACAAGAUUGCUUCUGGAGGGGAUGGGAAGCGCCCAUAACCACCAUCUGCGUUGCCUACACGAUUUCGUCGAUGCGCAGCAUUCAUUUUAUGCGCAAUGCGAAAGGAUCACAGCCCAACUUCAAAGGGAACUCGCUAGUUGCAACUUGGAAAUGGCUCCACCAGUAGUCAUCGGCAACGACACUAAUAUGCAGUAGGAGAUAUUCCUCUUGUUUCAAUUUUUCCGUUUCAAUAUGCUGCCAGUUUAUUUGAUGUUGUACGAAUUCUUAAUCUACUUAACAGUCUUACUCUAUAUCUCUUUUUCUCUAGUCAUUAUCUAAAGUGUGAUUUGUCGCUAGUUUACAAUGCCUUAGAACUCCUGUUAAACUCAAACACAAAAAUAUACUUUACUAAAAUGUCUAUGCCAAAAUUAAUUCUAUCAUAGCUGUGCAGACUUAAUAUCAUUGCGCUAACAAAAUUGAUUGUUUAUUUAUUGGGACAGAAAUGCCAUUAGAAAGUUAUUGCUUCUUAUUCUUUCCGGAGAGUUGUCUUUUCAAUAGAAUUUGAGUGAUUUUCUAUAGGAGAGAUUCUCGGAAGAUAUAAUAUGAAAUAUCGGUAAGCUCUUUUGUCAAUAGAUGUUAUUCAAUUAUUUAAAACUUCUUUUAUACUAAUACAACUAAAAUUUUAAGACAAGUAAUAAUAUGAAAACAAUAAUUGGCAGCCGGAAUUAUUACUGAUAUGUCUAUUAUAUAUGCUGCUUCUAUACUCUAUAUGCAUAAACUUACAACUAUUAGUCAUCAUCCUCAUCAAAUAAUAUCAUUUUCUAUUUGAGAUGAACACAAUACUAAUGAUUCGUAUUAAUAUUUAAAUAUUACAGUCUACCGCAAGUUCAAUAUUUCGCUGCAUGAUUGAGAAAGAGGAAUAGUGAUGCUUAAGACUUUCUAGAAGAAAGAACUGACUUAAGACGUCUAGAAAUUAUUCAAACAAUCUUACAUUUGCCCACUGUCUGAAUUCUUCCGGACUUGUUCUAAAUACGGGACCAUCAUAGAGAUUUACUCUAACAACAAAAGCAUCAAAAAAUGUUUUAUAGAACUAAGAGAUUUUCAAUGAAGGAAGAAGAUAUGGGCUUCGGUACUUAUUUCCUUUAUUACUACAGUAUAAACAAGCAUUUUAAAAGGAACAUAUAGGACUUCACAUUUGUUAUAUGAAAUUUUUUUCUAUACAGAUUACCGAAACCCCUCGAGAGGAAAUGUAGUAAUUCAUAAAUAUUUAUUACAUAAUAAUACAAUAUAAUAAUGAAAAUAUACAAAGAUCAUUAUUAAAAUAUCUUUUUUAUCAAUUAUCCUCUAAUUUCCGAAUUUUACUAGUCGAACAAUACGUUAUGCUUCAUCAGUUCUUUGAUAAAAUCAGAGUAUUCUCCUAUAACAAGAUUUUCUAAUUGAACUACAAUAUUUUUAGUCUGGUUGGCAUGACAAUAAUACAUUGUUU
RNAcentral lists this unclassified non-coding RNA (2223 nucleotides) under Dimorphilus gyrociliatus. RNAcentral's name for it is "bAR domain-containing protein". The record is from RNAcentral. Lineage: Eukaryota; Metazoa; Annelida; Polychaeta; Dinophilidae.